RNAcentral lists this transfer RNA (69 nucleotides) under Espadarana prosoblepon (emerald glass frog). RNAcentral describes it as "tRNA-Arg". It matches the Rfam family "tRNA". Rfam says of the family: Transfer RNA (tRNA) molecules are approximately 80 nucleotides in length. The record is from RNAcentral. Lineage: Eukaryota; Metazoa; Chordata; Amphibia; Anura; Centrolenidae.
AAAGCUUUAGUCUAAUAAAGACGGUUGAUUUCGGCUCAACAAAUUAUGGUUUAACCCCAUAAUGCUUUU